CCCUGCGAGAGGCGGCCGUCAGGUUCAUCGGGCUCGCCGGGCGCUACCUGAGAGGGAAGCAGCAAGAGUUCCGGAUCAUCUGCAGGGCCCUUCAGGACAUGAUGGAUGACAUCAGCCCUGCCAUCUCAUGCCUGGCACUUCAAACUCUGUACAUCAAUUUAGCUGUACAGAGCAUUCCCUCCUCCCGCCCCCGGGAUAUGCACGAUCAACUCCGCCGGCUCUGGAGGUCAUGGCCUUUCCUGCGUCGCUGUGGCUGGCUGUCCUGCUGCAGCGCUGUGGAGAACUGAUCCGCGAGGCUGCGUCUGCUGG
Vidua chalybeata is the source of this 309-nucleotide long non-coding RNA. RefSeq lists it as uncharacterized. NCBI's taxonomy places the organism in Eukaryota, Metazoa, Chordata, Aves, Passeriformes, Viduidae. The transcript is spliced from 3 exons. The record is from RefSeq and is a predicted model, not a curated record.